AACACUGUUAACCUGCGGUACCUGCGGAAGGAUCAUUAACAAGCUGUGGGAGAUCAAUUUGAUCUCACACCUGGCCAACCUUGUUAACCUUAAAUAUAUUGCUUUGGUGAGCCCUGCUCACCAAAGUCAAACCCUAAACUCUUGAUUGUUUCUGCUGUCUGAGCAUGCAAGUGCAAAAUUUAGUUAAAAACUUUUAACAAUGGAUCU
Molecule: unclassified non-coding RNA, 207 nt
Filed under: soil metagenome
Description: partial contains 5.8S ribosomal RNA, internal transcribed spacer 2, and large subunit ribosomal RNA
Source: RNAcentral